This 499-nucleotide ribosomal RNA is filed under the name uncultured Flavobacteriaceae bacterium. Its description in RNAcentral is "partial 16S ribosomal RNA". The record is from RNAcentral. Lineage: Bacteria; Pseudomonadati; Bacteroidota; Flavobacteriia; Flavobacteriales; Flavobacteriaceae.
CACGGAGUUAGCCGAUCCUUAUUCUUACGGUACCGUCAAUAAAUUACUCGUAAUUCUUUUUCUUCCCGUACAAAAGCAGUUUACACACCAUAGAUGAUUCUUCCUGCACGCGGCAUGGCUGGUUCAGAGUUGCCUCCAUUGACCAAUAUUCCUCACUGCUGCCUCCCGUAGGAGUCUGGUCCGUGUCUCAGUACCAGUGUGGGGGAUCUCCCUCUCAGGACCCCUACCCAUCAUCGUCUUGGUAUGCCGUUACCACACCAACUAACUAAUGGGACGCAUGCUCAUCUUAUACCGAUAAAUCUUUAUAAUUCGGCUGAUGCCAACCAAUUAACUAUAAGGUAUUAAUCCGGAUUUCUCCGGGCUAUCCCUUAGUAUAAGGUAGAUUGCAUACGCGUUACGCACCCGUGCGCCGGUCUCUUUGGAGCAAGCUCCAAAUACCCCUCGACUUGCAUGUGUUAGGCCUGCCGUCUAGCGUUCAUCCUGAGCCAGGAUCAAACUC